This 404-nucleotide ribosomal RNA is filed under the name Brucella melitensis. RNAcentral describes it as "partial 16S ribosomal RNA". It matches the Rfam family "Bacterial small subunit ribosomal RNA", at positions 355 to 776 of the family's 1533-position model. Lineage: Bacteria; Pseudomonadati; Pseudomonadota; Alphaproteobacteria; Hyphomicrobiales; Brucellaceae. RNAcentral also lists the same sequence under 2 other names. The record is from RNAcentral.
UGGGGAAUAUUGGACAAUGGGCGCAAGCCUGAUCCAGCCAUGCCGCGUGAGUGAUGAAGGCCCUAGGGUUGUAAAGCUCUUUCACCGGUGAAGAUAAUGACGGUAACCGGAGAAGAAGCCCCGGCUAACUUCGUGCCAGCAGCCGCGGUAAUACGAAGGGGGCUAGCGUUGUUCGGAUUUACUGGGCGUAAAGCGCACGUAGGCGGACUUUUAAGUCAGGGGUGAAAUCCCAGGGCUCAACCCCGGAACUGCCUUUGAUACUGGAAGUCUUGAGUAUGGUAGAGGUGAGUGGAAUUCCGAGUGUAGAGGUGAAAUUCGUAGAUAUUCGGAGGAACACCAGUGGCGAAGGCGGCUCACUGGACCAUUACUGACGCUGAGGUGCGAAAGCGUGGGGAGCAAACAGG